Molecule: ribosomal RNA, 501 nt
Filed under: uncultured bacterium
Lineage: Bacteria
Description: partial 16S ribosomal RNA
Rfam family: Bacterial small subunit ribosomal RNA
Source: RNAcentral
AUCGAACGCUGGCGGCAUGUCUUACACAUGCAAGUCGAACGGCAGCACGGGUGCUUGCACCUGGUGGCGAGUGGCGAACGGGUGAGUAAUACAUCGGAACGUACCUUAUCGUGGGGGAUAACGCAGCGAAAGCUGUGCUAAUACCGCAUACGCCCUGAGGGGGAAAGCGGGGGAUCGCAAGACCUCGCGCGAUUAGAGCGGCCGAUGCCUGAUUAGCUUGUUGGUGGGGUAAAAGCCCACCAAGGCGACGAUAAGUAGCUGGUCUGAGAGGACGAGCAGCCACACUGGGACUGAGACACGGCCCAGACGCCUACGGGAGGCAGUAGUGGGGAAUUUUGGACAAUGGGGGCAACCCUGAUCCAGCAAUGCCGCGUGAGUGAAGAAGGCCUUCGGGUUGUAAAGCUCUUUUGUCAGGGAAGAAACACCGGCUCUAACACAGUCCGGGAAUGACGGUACCUGAAGAAUAAGCACCGGCUAACUACGUGCCAGCCGCCGCGGUAA